UAGGGAAUCUUCGGCAAUGGACGAAAGUCUGACCGAGCAACGCCGCGUGAGUGAAGAAGGUUUUCGGAUCGUAAAACUCUGUUGUUAGAGAAGAACAAGGACGUUAGUAACUGAACGUCCCCUGACGGUAUCUAACCAGAAAGCCACGGCUACUACCGGCCAGCAGCCGCGGUAAUACGUAGGUGGCAAGCGUUGUCCGGAUUUAUUGGGCGUAAAGCGAGCGCAGGCGGUUUCUUAAGUCUGAUGUGAAAGCCCCCGGCUCAACCGGGGAGGGUCAUUGGAAACUGGGAGACUUGAGUGCAGAAGAGGAGAGUGGAAUUCCAUGUGUAGCGGUGAAAUGCGUAGAUAUAUGGAGGAACACCAGUGGCGAAGGCGGCUCUCUGGUCUGUAACUGACGCUGAGGCUCGAAAGCGUGGGGAGCAAACAGG
RNAcentral lists this ribosomal RNA (428 nucleotides) under Gemmatimonadota bacterium. Its description in RNAcentral is "Gemmatimonadetes bacterium partial 16S ribosomal RNA". It matches the Rfam family "Bacterial small subunit ribosomal RNA", at positions 355 to 776 of the family's 1533-position model. Lineage: Bacteria; Pseudomonadati; Gemmatimonadota. The record is from RNAcentral.